RNAcentral lists this ribosomal RNA (725 nucleotides) under uncultured Thermoplasmatales archaeon. RNAcentral describes it as "bacterial SSU rRNA". It matches the Rfam family "Archaeal small subunit ribosomal RNA", at positions 182 to 905 of the family's 1478-position model. Lineage: Archaea; Methanobacteriati; Thermoplasmatota; Thermoplasmata; Thermoplasmatales. The record is from RNAcentral.
GGAUAUCGAAAGCGCAAGCGCCAGAGGGUGAGUCUGCGGCCUAUCAGGUAGUAGGUGGUGUAACGGACCACCUAGCCUAAGACGGGUACGGGCCUUGAGAGAGGGAGCCCGGAGAUGGGUUCUGAGACACGAACCCAGGCCCUACGGGGCGCAGCAGGCGCGAAACCUUCGCACUGCGCGAAAGCGCGACGAGGGGAGCCCGAGUGCCUCUCCAUUUCGGGGAGGCUUUUCACAAGCCUAAAAAGCUUGUGGAAUAAGGGCUGGGCAAGACGGGUGCCAGCCGCCGCGGUAAUACCCGCAGCUCGAGUGGUGGUCGCUUUUAUUGAGCCUAAAACGUUCGUAGUCGGCCUUGUAAAUCCCUGGGUAAAUCGGACCGCUUAACGGUUCGAAUUCCGGGGAGACUGCAAGGCUAGGGACCGGGCGAGGUCAGAGGUACUUUCGGGGUAGGAGUGAAAUCCUGUAAUCCCGAAGGGACCACCUGUGGCGAAAGCGUCUGACUUGAACGGCUCCGACGAUGAGGAACGAAGGCUAGGGGAGCAAACCGGAUUAGAUACCCGGGUAGUCCUAGCUGUAAACUCUGCCCGCUUGGUGUGGCCUGUCCUUCGGGGGCAGGCUGUGCCGGAGCGAAGGUGUUAAGCGGGCUGCUUGGGGAGAUACGGCCGCAAGGUUGAAACUUAAAGGAAUUGGCGGGGGAACACCGCAACGGGAGGAUGCGUGCGGUUUAA